CUGCCUCUGCCUCCAGAGCGCUGGGAUACAUUUUUAAAAGAUGGGGUUGAACAAUCUGAACCUCGACACAGAACAGAGAUGGGAUUAGACUCUGCGAGGUAGGGACACCCUAUCCUUGCAUCCCAGAACUUCUCAAGGCUAUGGGGUUUUAUUUGUUGUUUUUUAUGACAACAUCAUUGCUUGAAAGCCUUUGUAGCCGCCAACAGCCUCCAGGAUUAGACCUCAGACAAUGGAAGACAAUACCAAUGCCUUUCAUAUCUGCCUCACUCCAACACUGAACUACCCUGACUAGUGGUGCAAGUAUGGAUAAAAAGCUGCAAGGAUUCUGAGAAUAGUUAUAGGAUCUUGGCAUAUCUUGGGUAGCACCCAAGUCAUACAGAAACACACAGAGAUCUACAUACCUCUAUAUGGAAAUAAGCAAAGCUUCUCUCGAAGGUGCCCUCAACUACCAAAAGAGGUGGUGUGUCCUUACUUCACAGGCAGAAAAGCCACAGGCAUAGAACUGGUUUGGAGGUGGUUCAGGCCUCAGUCUGGAGCACAUAAAGGAAUUUACCCCAUGAGGAAAGGCACUGUGCUGUGUAGCUCAUCUCCCAGCACGUUUUGGGGCUGGCAAUCAUUGUAUCUGAUAUCUUCUGAUUCAAACCCCUAUCAUCUAGUUUGGUUGUUUGCCUUAACCCAAGCUGAGCAAAUUAUUUCCUUUACUACCAAUUACCCUCGACAAAGCGGUGUGGCCACGUAACACAAUUCUUUCCCCAGCCAAAAGCUAUAAGCAGACAUACUGGGAUUAUUUUUGGUCUGGUCUUUUGGCAAGAGAACUCUGUGCAGAAGGACUGGGGCUCUGGGGUUCUUAAACACUGUAACACAUCUUCCAUUUCCCUUUGCUCCUGUGCUUUCUUAUUAUUUACUUUCCAGAAAGUUGGUAAUGCUCUGGACUGAGAUUUAACAGUUGAAAUGGUAGCUUCCUGAAGCUGGACUGUGACCAUCUGACAAGCGUGAUUUGGGAAUGCUGGAAAAAAAAAAAAAAAAACAGCAUCACAGGACCGGGGACCUUCAGCGGAAAAAUAGCAAGGAGUAGAGGUUACUGGAGAUCAAAAGAAGUGCUUAGGCCUGCUCAAGUUGUUAGGUUACUCACCAACUCAAGUCAGCCUUGAAGGCUUAGCAUCCUCUAUUUUCCUAGCUGAUUGCCUCUCCCACUGUGCCUUGCUCUAUUGGUAUGCUGUUGCUUUUAUAGAUGGACUCACAAUUUGAAGGGGACAUUAUAUAGCAAUAAUUAAGCCUGAUCUUAGGGUCACCUCAGAGCCGUGAUAGGCCCUCCAGCUGACAGAGAAACCAAAGGACCGUUCUCAGAUGUCCGGGAGUUACAAUUAGGAACACACCUCGGUCCACUAUCACCAAGGCAGGAACUACAGGUGAUUUCCAACAGGUGAAUCCAGUGGAUCCAGGCAAGUUUGUGUUAGGGCAACACGUUGACCAAAAGAAAAGUGAUUAGACUCACAUCAUCUGCCCUAAAUUGACUGGAAGAUGUAGCUAGUAACCCCGCAUCAAGUAUUCCGACAUUAGAGCUAUGGAAAGACAACCAGUCUAGGGAGUUACUUGUGCCAUUCUACCAAUUGAACUCCAGAGUAUGAGGUAAACAUUAAGAAAUCCCCUAAAGACAAGCUGAUUUAUAAAAAAAAAAAAAAGAAAGAAAGAAAGAAAGAAAGAAAGAAAGAAAGAAACCUGCAACUCCAAAAUAAGCAUUGCCAUGGAUUAUGGAGUUUGUGAAUGUGUAUGUAAAAGAAAGGUGCCUGAUGUGUCUGUCUGUCCAGGAAAGCCCUCUUUGGAGGAAGAUGUGUUGCACCUGAAAUUUCAGGAAAGCAUGAGCUGCCUUGAGCACGGUGCUCAUUUUCCUGUCCCAGUGAAAUGCCCACGAAUUCCUAUCUUUUAUGGAACAAUAGAGUCUUUCUUUGCCGGGUGUUUACUGAAGGCAUCCCUUAAUCACUUUGAAGAGCAGUUCCCCCUAACCCCCACAAACACUGAGAUCACAGGCACGUGGGGGUGGAGAUAAUGAAGGUGCUUGUUCCGCAUUCAAGCUGUAAUUGGAUUAGUGGGACUCACACUGGCAACUUUGUUACACUUUGUCCUCCUCAGGGCAGGGAAAGUCCGGAGUGGGAAGACACCCCAGUGUCUGAUGACCACAGUGUUGCCGCCAGGCUAUACUUAACACAAAAAUAACCAUAUCUGGAAUGGCAUAACAACAUCAAUCCAGAGAGGAGAGGCGUACGACAAAGAGAAGACUCCAAACGCCACUGCGAGACGGGCAUGAACAACAUCCGACUUCCUGCGUUUUCUGAAGAAACUUGGGAGUUUGAACAGAAAAAGCAAAACCCCGAAUCUGUGAAGAAGCUGUUCCUGGAAAGCAUUGCAAUAACUCUAGUGCUAAUUCUACAACCACACGUCACGAGGCAUCAGUGUCACCGUGAUCUGCCGCAGGGACGCUUUUCCUCCUUGUCCCAACCUGACAGUUAGGAGCUGCAUCCUAAUAAAGAUGGAAUAACAUGA
Molecule: long non-coding RNA, 2541 nt
Organism: Mus musculus (house mouse)
Lineage: Eukaryota; Metazoa; Chordata; Mammalia; Rodentia; Muridae
Product: predicted gene, 35464
Exons: 2
Source: RefSeq, a predicted model, not a curated record